This 301-nucleotide ribosomal RNA is filed under the name uncultured bacterium. Its description in RNAcentral is "partial 16S ribosomal RNA". It matches the Rfam family "Bacterial small subunit ribosomal RNA", at positions 509 to 807 of the family's 1533-position model. The record is from RNAcentral.
CAGCAGCCGCGGUAAUACGUAGGGUGCGAGCGUUAAUCGGAUUUACUGGGCGUAAAGCGUGCGUAGGCGGCUUCUUAAGUCGGAUGUGAAAUCCCUGAGCUUAACUUAGGAAUUGCAUUCGAUACUGGGAAGCUAGAGUAUGGGAGAGGAUGGUAGAAUUCCAGGUGUAGCGGUGAAAUGCGUAGAGAUCUGGAGGAAUACCGAUGGCGAAGGCAGCCAUCUGGCCUAAUACUGACGCUGAGGUACGAAAGCAUGGGGAGCAAACAGGAUUAGAUACCCGAGUAGUCCCUGUCUCUUAUAC